This 524-nucleotide ribosomal RNA is filed under the name uncultured bacterium. RNAcentral describes it as "partial 16S ribosomal RNA". It matches the Rfam family "Bacterial small subunit ribosomal RNA", at positions 28 to 523 of the family's 1533-position model. The record is from RNAcentral.
GACGAACGCUGGCGGCGUGCCUAAUACAUGCAAGUCGAACGCUUCUUUCCUCCCGAGUGCUUGCACUCAAUUGGAAAGAGGAGUGGCGGACGGGUGAGUAACACGUGGGUAACCUACCCAUCAGAGGGGGAUAACACUUGGAAACAGGUGCUAAUACCGCAUAACAGUUUAUGCUGCAUGGCAUAAGAGUGAAAGGCGCUUUCGGGUGUCGCUGAUGGAUGGACCCGCGGUGCAUUAGCUAGUUGGUGAGGUAACGGCUCACCAAGGCCACGGUGGAUAGCCGACCUGAGAGGGUGAUCGGCCACACUGGGACUGAGACACGGCCCAGACGCCUACGGGAGGCAGCAGUAGGGAAUCUUCGGCAAUGGACGGAAGUCUGACCGAGCAACGCCGCGUGAGUGAAGAAGGUUUUCGGAUCGUAAAACUCUGUUGUUAGAGAAGAACAAGGACGUUAGUAACUGAACGUCCCCUGACGGUAUCUAACCAGAAAGCCACGGCUAACUACGUGCCAGCCGCCGCCGUAA